AAACUGAUACUCAUCAUGAGUCAGAGAGGCAGGUAGAGACAGGUUCAUUUCAUUGACAGGAAACCGAGGCAGCUUGAGGCCAUAUCCAAAAGCAUAUGAAGUGGACAUGUUGCAGGACUCUACGCUUCUGGUUCUGUAUUUCCCCCAGCACUGCGGGAGGACAUUGUUGUUUGGGGACUCUGUCCCUAAUUCUAGACUGUUCAGCAUUUUUAUUAGUGCCGUGAGCGGAAAUACAGAAGUUGCCAUUUCCUCAAUUACAACAGUCAUAGUAGUGGUAGGGGGAGUGGAGAGACCUUGACUGAAGAACUCUGAAUCAAUAAAAGUACCUUUUAAUACGCGAGCCUGUGGGUAAACCGUAGGAUGCACAGGGCGGUGUGCCGAGAGUGUGGAGGAAGUGCCAGUCCCUGGCCUGUGAAGAUGGCUGAAGAACAAAGUUUUUCCUACCGGCAAAGAGAAGAUGUGAGGAAAUGAUGUAGCCACAUAACGGAAGGAGCGUGGAUCCCUGAAUGACUGCAUGGAGGAGAACCAACCUGCCAACUUCAGUAUCUACCUAGGACUACUAGACCUUCCUGGAAAUAAAUCAUUUGAACAGACAAUUGAAGGAAGUGAAGAUGUGAGUCAGCCCUGAAUAUCUUAGGCAGAGGGGAGAGGUGCUGAAGAUGAAGAAAGAACCCAGAUAAAAAUGGGGAAAAUUAUCAACGUAGAAGAUGGCAGCCAGACUUGAAACGACACAGAAGGGAAGCAGUUCUUCUGAAAAAGGAGACAUGCUGAGUAAACAGUCCCUGAAGUGCUCCUGGCUGGGCUCCAGAUGAGUAAUGAUUUAUGAACGGGAAAUCUGGGUCGGCCGGGCUUCAGUCCCGCGGCGCAGGGAGAUGGAAACCAGAUGCGGAGGCUUCAUCCAGAGGCCCAGGAGCGGCAGCAUGGAGGGGGUGAGGGUGCAGAGAGGGACGCAGACCCACGAAGGACGCAUGUGGCGCGGGGAACACACAGAGAGGGGAGGAGGAGAAGACAGAAAAGAGGAGGGAGGGGAGAGAAUCAACCAAGCCGUCACUCAUGGAAAUAAAGCACCCUUCAGAGUUAACUCAGAAAACGUUUCCUCAGCCGGAAAGCCUGGUGCUUCCUCAGAAUAUACGUUUUGUCUUCAUCUAUGUUCCCAUGGAAACCAGCUAAAAAAGUUCAGACACAUUUGUUGACUUCAGCUACUUGGAGUACAGAGACCGUGUCUGUGUGUGUGUCUCAAUAUACACAACGUGUUUCCAAAUAUGUUUCAAUGAAAUGCUGGUUCUCUUCCAAUUAAAUCUCUGCGAGAGUUCAGUUUCCUAAAAGCUAAAAAGAAGAUUGAUUUUUAAUGCAAUUCUGGCAAAGAGAAGAAAAUUUAAGUGUGUAUUCUUCCUAUUGCCAAACUGUCCAAUACAAAGCAAAUCAGACAUCUAGAACAGGGGUCAGCAAACUAUGGCCAGUGGGCAAAUUUUGGCCCACAAACUCUUUCUGUAUAGUCCACAGGUUAAGAGUGGGGGUUUUUUUUGGGUAGUUGUUGCUUUGCAUUUUUUAAAAGUUGUAACAAAAAACGAGAAGAUUAUAAAACAGGGUUGUGUGUAGCCCACAAAGCUGAAAAUAUUCACUCUCUGGUCCUUUACAAAAAAGUUUGCUAAGCCCCGAUCUAGAAUAUGAUGCUCUUGCCGGUGAAGCUGUUGUACAUGAUAACAGGUCAGCUGGGUAAUAAUUUCUAUAAAUGAAACGAUUCUUAGAAAUAUUGAUAUAGACCCAUAGAGUGCUUUGGUGUAAACACUCAUUUGAUCACUUCACGCUAAGCCACUGUGCUCCGCCCUCGAAGUGCGGAAAGCUGGCGAGUAGCACGCGGGGGUAGACGAACUCUCCCUGGCCGCGCCGAGGGGAAAGCACAUGAUGUUCUGGGUCUGUGCAGAGCUGCAGCGGCUCCCAAAUACAGAGCUGGCACUCAUCUCUCAAACCUCGUAAAGGAGCAUGAGCAAUGGAUAGUGAAAAGUCACAGAAGAAUGUAUCUUGGGCUUUGGAGAGACCCAAAGGAUAAGGCACUCAUAGAGAAGCAACAGAUUGUACCCUGGCUUUGAUCAAGCAACAGAUUGACCCUGACCAAAUAAUGAUGAGAAUAAUAAACAAAAACAAUAACUCAGCUAAUGGUGGCUAAAAUUUACCGGGUGUUUAUGGUGUGCCAGGCAUCAUGCUGAGCACUUUCCUUGGAUUACCUUAUUUAAUCCCCAUAAUGACCUUCUGAAAACGAAGGAACAGACUCAGAGGUAAAGCAACGCUUUAGGAGUGAAAUGGCUAUUAAGAGGCAGAGCCAUGGUCUGAGAACAGAUUCUUUUUUUUAAUAAAAAUCUUUUAUUAAACUCCCAUAAUCUAGAAAAAUAUAGAAUUCUUCUUCUUUUUUUAUAAUUAAUAGACUUUAUUCAGAACUCAGCAUGUCCUUUUCCUAUCUUAUCAUCAAAUGCACUGUACCACAAUAUAUUUAAUCUUUGUCUCUUUAUUUAAUCCCUAUGGCAAUUCCCCCCCCCACACUCAUUUGUUUAUUUAUUUAUUUAUUGUAUUAUUAUUAUACUUCUUAAGCACUGCCUUGAUGGCUUCUUAAGUGUAGAAAGACUCAGGGGGAAGUGUUAUCAAUAUAAAUAUGUAGGGUACAAAUGGAAUUGAAAAACAGGUCGUUACGACCCAUAUUUAUCUCCUCUUUACUUUCAAACCCCACAAUAAUAAAACUCCACGCACUGAGGUAUCACAA
Molecule: long non-coding RNA, 2755 nt
Organism: Pongo pygmaeus (Bornean orangutan)
Lineage: Eukaryota; Metazoa; Chordata; Mammalia; Primates; Hominidae
Exons: 6
Source: RefSeq, a predicted model, not a curated record